AACGAACGCUGGCGGCAUGCCUAACACAUGCAAGUCGAACGAGACCUUCGGGUCUAGUGGCGCACGGGUGCGUAACGCGUGGGAACCUUCCCUUAGGUUCGGAAUAACUCCCCGAAAGGGGUGCUAAUACCGGAUAAUGUCUUCGGACCAAAGAUUUAUCGCCUUUGGAUGGGCCCGCGUUGGAUUAGCUAGUUGGUAGGGUAAAAGCCUACCAAGGCGACGAUCCAUAGCUGGUCUGAGAGGAUGAUCAGCCACACUGGGACUGAGACACGGCCCAGACUCCUACGGGAGGCAGGAGUGGGGAAUAUUGGACAAUGGGCGAAAGCCUGAUCCAGCAAUGCCGCGUGAGUGAUGAAGGCCUUAGGGUUGUAAAGCUCUUUUAACCGGGAUGAUAAUGACAGUACCGGGAGAAUAAGCUCCGGCUAACUCCGUG
Molecule: ribosomal RNA, 433 nt
Filed under: uncultured bacterium
Lineage: Bacteria
Description: partial 16S ribosomal RNA
Rfam family: Bacterial small subunit ribosomal RNA
Source: RNAcentral